AUUGAACGCUGGCGGCAUGCCUUACACAUGCAAGUCGAACGGUAACAGGUCUUCUGAUGCUGACUAGUGGCGAACGGUUGCGUAAUACAUCGUAACGUGCCCGAUCUUUGGGGAUAACUAUGCGAAAGCUUUUCUAAUACCGCAUACGAUCUACUGAUUAAAGCUGUGUAUCUUCUGACCUCUCUCUGACCUUGCUGCCGAUGGCAGAUUAUGUAGUUGUUUGGAUAAAAGCUUACCAAGAUUACGAUCUGUAGCUGGUCUGAGAGGAUGAUCAGCCACAAUGGGAAUGAGAAAAGGCAAAGAAUACUAAGGGAGGAAGAAGUGGGGAAUUUUGGAAAAUGGGAGAAAGAAUGAUAAAGAAAAGAAGCGUGCAGGAUGAAGGAAUUCGGGUUGUAAAAUGCUUUUGUAAGGAACGAAAAGACAAUUAAUAAAAAAGAGGGGUCAUGACGGUACAGUAAGAAAAAGCACCGGCUAACUACGUG
This 482-nucleotide ribosomal RNA is filed under the name uncultured bacterium. RNAcentral describes it as "partial 16S ribosomal RNA". It matches the Rfam family "Bacterial small subunit ribosomal RNA", at positions 30 to 507 of the family's 1533-position model. The record is from RNAcentral.